AUGUUAGUGGAAUUAACAUAUGCCCCACCCCAAGUGACUUCUAAAGGGCUAACUCACCACAAGGGAGUCAGAGCAGAUCUUGGACUGAGACCUACAGGACACAGCGACUCUUAAAUAGGUGGCUCACCAGGAGAAAGGCAUAGCAGAACCUGGACUGAGACCUACGGGAGACAGGCAGACACACAGGAGGUUGGACGUCGAGAGGAGCACAUCAGUGCAAGAACACAUGGGUGGCUGCCACUUCUCUCCCUUUCCUGAGAGGGAAAAACUCUCGACGCUGAGAGGAAUCCACCAACAGGCACCAGCACUCUGGCAGGCCACCGACCAAUGGAUUGACAUAGAGUUUGGCUGGGGCAGCCAGAGGAGAGCCUGGGCCGCUGAAUAACCCGACUUCAGGGGAAAACUAUUCUCCCUUUUGGCUCCCCCAUCUGCUGAGAGCUACUUCCACUCAAUAAAACCUUGCACUCAUUCUCCAAGA
This is a long non-coding RNA of Homo sapiens (human), 478 nucleotides long. RefSeq annotates it as long independently transcribed non-coding RNA 1480. Lineage: Eukaryota; Metazoa; Chordata; Mammalia; Primates; Hominidae. The transcript has 3 exons. The record is from RefSeq and is marked validated.